This 915-nucleotide ribosomal RNA is filed under the name uncultured bacterium. RNAcentral describes it as "bacterial SSU rRNA". It matches the Rfam family "Bacterial small subunit ribosomal RNA", at positions 8 to 879 of the family's 1533-position model. The record is from RNAcentral.
AGAGUUUGAUCCUGGCUCAGGAUGAACGCUGGCGGCGUGCCUAAUACAUGCAAGUCGAACGCUUUGUCUUUAAUUGAUCUGACGAGCUUGCUCUGAUGUGAUUUUAUCUGACAAAGAGUGGCGAACGGGUGAGUAACACGUGGGUAACCUACCUCUUAGCAGGGGAUAACAUUUGGAAACAAGUGCUAAUACCGUAUAAUACCAACAACCGCAUGGUUGUUGGUUGAAAGGUGGUUCUGCUAUCACUAAGAGAUGGACCCGCGGUGCAUUAGCUAGUUGGUAAGGUAACGGCUUACCAAGGCAAUGAUGCAUAGCCGAGUUGAGAGACUGAUCGGCCACAAUGGGACUGAGACACGGCCCAUACUCCUACGGGAGGCAGCAGUAGGGAAUCUUCCACAAUGGGCGCAAGCCUGAUGGAGCAACGCCGCGUGUGUGAUGAAGGGUUUCGGCUCGUAAAACACUGUUAUAAGAGAAGAACGGCACUGAGAGUAACUGUUCAGUGUGUGACGGUAUCUUACCAGAAAGGAACGGCUAAAUACGUGCCAGCAGCCGCGGUAAUACGUAUGUUCCAAGCGUUAUCCGGAUUUAUUGGGCGUAAAGCGAGCGCAGACGGUUAUUUAAGUCUGAAGUGAAAGCCCUCAGCUCAACUGAGGAAUGGCUUUGGAAACUGGAUGACUUGAGUGCAGUAGAGGAAAGUGGAACUCCAUGUGUAGCGGUGAAAUGCGUAGAUAUAUGGAAGAACACCAGUGGCGAAGGCGGCUUUCUGGACUGUAACUGACGUUGAGGCUCGAAAGUGUGGGUAGCAAACAGGAUUAGAUACCCUGGUAGUCCACACCGUAAACGAUGAGUGCUAGAUGUUCGAGGGUUUCCGCCCUUGAGUGUCGCAGCUAACGCAUUAAGCACUCCGCCUGGGGA